Herpailurus yagouaroundi (jaguarundi) is the source of this 85-nucleotide non-coding RNA. The record is from the annotation of a RefSeq genome assembly. NCBI's taxonomy places the organism in Eukaryota, Metazoa, Chordata, Mammalia, Carnivora, Felidae.
GCCUGACUGGCUCAGUCGGUUGAGCGUCCGACUUCGGCUCAGGUCACGGUCUCGUGGUCUGUGGGUUCGAGCCCCACGUCAGGCU